Molecule: ribosomal RNA, 279 nt
Filed under: uncultured bacterium
Lineage: Bacteria
Description: partial 16S ribosomal RNA
Rfam family: Bacterial small subunit ribosomal RNA
Source: RNAcentral
UGCCAGCAGCCGCGGUAAUACGAGGGGUGCAAGCGUUAAUCGGAAUUACUGGGCGUAAAGCGUACGUAGGCGGUUUGUUAAGCAAGAUGUGAAAGCCCAGGGCUCAACCUUGGAACUGCAUUUUGAACUGGCAAACUAGAGUACUGUAGAGGGUGGUGGAAUUUCCAGUGUAGCGGUGAAAUGCGUAGAGAUUGGAAGGAACAUCAGUGGCGAAGGCGGCCACCUGGACAGAUACUGACGCUGAGGUACGAAAGCGUGGGGAGCGAACAGGAUUAGAUA